This 318-nucleotide unclassified non-coding RNA is filed under the name plant metagenome. RNAcentral's name for it is "partial contains 5.8S ribosomal RNA, internal transcribed spacer 2, and large subunit ribosomal RNA". The stretch from base 1 to 105 matches the Rfam family "5.8S ribosomal RNA", at positions 50 to 154 of the family's 154-position model. The record is from RNAcentral.
GAAAUGCGAUAAGUAAUGUGAAUUGCAGAAUUCAGUGAAUCAUCGAAUCUUUGAACGCACAUUGCGCCCUUUGGUAUUCCGAAGGGCAUGCCUGUUCGAGCGUCAUUUCACCAAUCAAGCCCCGCUUGGUAUUAGGCGUAUUGGCCGGCGCUCAGCCGCCGGCCCGCCCGAAAUGCAUCGGCGAGGACGACCGACCCCCGGCGUGUUAAGAGUCUUUCGAGAAUCGUACGUCAGGAGCACCGGACGCCUCCGCCGCGACCUUUUUUUUUAUUCUAAGGUUGACCUCGGAUCAGGUAGGGAUACCCGCUGAACUUAAGC